Perognathus longimembris pacificus (Pacific pocket mouse) is the source of this 235-nucleotide long non-coding RNA. RefSeq lists it as uncharacterized. The transcript is spliced from 3 exons. Lineage: Eukaryota; Metazoa; Chordata; Mammalia; Rodentia; Heteromyidae. The record is from RefSeq and is a predicted model, not a curated record.
UCUCCAUUUUUCCUCUCUCUCUCGCCCACCACAGCUGGGGCCAUUUGAGCCUUGCUACUGAGGAGGCUGAGAUCCAGAGGAUUACAGAUCCUCAUGGAAACCAGAAAAAUAUGAAAGACGUUAUCUCCUAUUAACUGGCAAAAUGCCAGAUGGACGGGGUGACUCAUGUGGUAGUAUGCUACUAAGCAAGUAAGCCAAAUGAGCUCCUGAUGCCCUGAGUUCGUACCCUAAAAUU